CCCUUUAAAGAAAGCGUAAUAGCUCACUGGUCGAGUCGGCCUGCACGUAAGAUUUAACGGGGCUAAGCUAUGCACUGAAGUUGCGGAAUAUAUUUAGUAUAUUGGUAGGGGAGCGUUCUGUAAGCCGAUGAAGGUGAAUUGAGAAGUUUGCUGGAGGUAUCAGAAGUGCGAAUGCUGACAUGAGUAACGUAAAAUAAGUGAGAUUCUUAUUGGCCGAAAACCCAAGGGUUCCUACGCAAUGUUAAUCAACGUAGGGUAAGCCGGCCCCUAAGGCGUAGCUGAAGAGUGAAGUCGAUGGGAAACAGGUUAAUAUUCCUGUGCUGCUUAUAUGAACGAAGGAGGGACGGAGAAGGUUAGGUAGGCCUGGCGAAUGGUUGUCCAGGUGAAAGUAUGUAGGUAGGAAUGCUAGGCAAAUCCGGUGUUCUGUUGAUCUGAGAUACGAGACGAAGUUAAACUUGUUUGACGAAGCUAUUGAUACCAUGCUUCCAGGAAAAGCUUCUAAGUAUAUUGUAUAAGUGACCGUACUGUAAACCGACACUGGUGGGUAGGUAGAGAAUACUAAGGCUAUGAGAUAACUCUGGUGAAGGAACUAGGCAAAAUGACACCGUAACUUUGGAAGAAGGUGUGCCCUUGAUGGUGAUGAGACUUGCUCUUUGAGCUGUUGGGGGUUGCAGAUACCAGGUGGCUGCGACUGUUUAUCAAAAACACAGCACUCUGCGAAAUCGUAAGAUGAAGUAUAGGGUGUGACGCCUGCCCGGUGCUGGAAGGUUAAUUGAAGGGGUUAGCGCAAGCGAAGCUCUGGAUCGAAGCCCCAGUAAACGGCGGCCGUAACUAUAACGGUCC
RNAcentral lists this ribosomal RNA (843 nucleotides) under Francisella tularensis. RNAcentral's name for it is "bacterial LSU rRNA". It matches the Rfam family "Bacterial large subunit ribosomal RNA", at positions 1119 to 1951 of the family's 2925-position model. Lineage: Bacteria; Pseudomonadati; Pseudomonadota; Gammaproteobacteria; Thiotrichales; Francisellaceae. The record is from RNAcentral.